UGUCCAGCCACUCCCUGGCCCUCCUGGAGCAGCCCGACCCAGAGUGCGAGCCCCCCUAGUGGCCCUGAUGACGUGGUGACCACUCCGACCGGCAGGGGUGGAAAAUGGUACCUGUCAACCCCGAGCCGGAGGAGCCCGCGGCCGCAGCCCCGACAUGGAGGAGCCCACGCCGGAGCCCGUGUACGUGGAUGUCGACAAAGGGCUGACCCUGGCCUGCUUCGUCUUCCUCUGCCUCUUCCUCGUGGUGAUGAUCGUUCGCUGCGCCAGGGUCAUCAUGGACCCUUACAGCGCCAUCCCCACGUCCACCUGGGAGGAGCAGCACCUGGACGACUGAGGCGCCGGCACGGGGGCCUCCAUGUGACCACCGGCCAGCCAGCCGGCAGACGCGGGAAUGGGUUUGGCUGUGGAUGGAGGGGUCACCGGAGCCGCACCUGCUCCCUCUCGAGCACCAGAGUGAGGCGCCACGGGGGUCCGUGGUGGGCCAGCCUGGAGAGGAGAGCACUGGCCCCGGAGUCAGGAGGCCGGUCGGGGCUGGGGAGUCACUGUGGGACGAUGGGGGGGGGUCCUGUCGCCUCGCUCCUGUGCACCUUCUGGGACUGGGUCCAGGGCAGACCCCCGCCGUCACACAACAGCGCUCUCAUGGUGAGGACACUGUCUGCCCUUAAAAUGCAAAACGGCACACGCACGAGCCGUGGCAGCUCCCGGCACAGAGCACAGACGACCCGCGAUCCCCAGCCGGUCCCGCUGGGCAGCCGCGGGGCGGUGGCGAAGGCGGAGGCGGAUGGAAGGGGCCUCACCCCACCUUCUCGCCAGGCACAGGCCUGCUUCCCAGCAGUAUUUUUUUAAGCUAAAACAUAGAGGGGUCUAUUUUUCCUGUCAUAAACGAAAUGCGCAUUUUGGGAAUUUGGGAACACACAGAAAAAUAGAAGGAAAGGGGGAAAAUAACACUUACGAUCCCACCUCCCCAAAGCCGCCAGUUUGAUACACUUCUCCCAAGCUUUUUUUACACAUCUUUUUAAAUGGUCACGUUCACGCCGUACGCACGAUGUCGCAUCCCUUGGUAGCAGAGCAUGGACACUUUCCUGUCCCAUCACAACCAUCGUCUGAGCGAGGUCAUGGCUCCAUCAGCGUCGCCUCUGGCCGCACAGUUCAAUCUGUUUGCUGACUUCCCCGCACACAACGUUCUUCCAUGCCGUAUAGUCUCUCAGAUGUGCACACGCUGCAGGGGAAGCACUGGACCAGGAGCCCUGGGUCUCGUCCUCCGUCACCCAAAGACUGUGUGGCCGUGAGCAAGUCCCGCCCCCUCUGCGUGCCUCAGUCCCCUCGUGUCACAACGAGGUGGAAGAGCCUUGCCUUCUUUGUUUUGUGCGAGGCUCCUGUGGCUAAAAGGACAGGAGGGGGCUGGUGGGGGGCAGGGACAGUUUGCUGAUAGUGACUGUUCUUGGGGUCUCCUCCUCUCCCGUCACCUCCCUCGGCGACCUUGCAGCAAGAACAUGGAGCCCACCACGCUGGUCCCAAGUCCCAGCUCCUUUACCUUCUGCUCUAUCACCCCAGAUAAUAGCCUCUCUGAGCCCCAGUUCCCUCAUGUGUAGCGUGAGGGAACCAUGUCUACCUCACAAGGUUGUUGUGAGGAUGGAAUGAAGGAACAUGGGCCGACAUCGGUGUCCUUCCUUGACUCCACCCCCCAGGAGAAGCCAGGGGUCUGAGCCGGGAGGGGCACAGGUUCCAGAAUCCCCCUCCCAGCAGAGCCUGGAAGCCCGGACUUUCCUCAACCUCCCAGGGCCACUUGCUGGGCCAAAUCUCCCAGCCAGGACCCCUGGUCAGAGGGACACUCACAGCAACCUCU
Long non-coding RNA from Ursus americanus (American black bear), 1846 nucleotides. Lineage: Eukaryota; Metazoa; Chordata; Mammalia; Carnivora; Ursidae. The record is from Ensembl.